This 509-nucleotide ribosomal RNA is filed under the name uncultured Alphaproteobacteria bacterium. RNAcentral's name for it is "bacterial SSU rRNA". It matches the Rfam family "Bacterial small subunit ribosomal RNA", at positions 38 to 591 of the family's 1533-position model. Lineage: Bacteria; Pseudomonadati; Pseudomonadota; Alphaproteobacteria. The record is from RNAcentral.
GGCGGCAGGCUUAACACAUGCAAGUCGAGCGGGCGUAGCAAUACGUCAGCGGCAGACGGGUGAGUAACGCGUGGGAACGUACCUUUUGGUUCGGAACAACACAGGGAAACUUGUGCUAAUACCGGAUAAGCCCUUACGGGGAAAGAUUUAUCGCCGAAAGAUCGGCCCGCGUCUGAUUAGCUAGUUGGUGAGGUAACGGCUCACCAAGGCGACGAUCAGUAGCUGGUCUGAGAGGAUGAUCAGCCACAUUGGGACUGAGACACGGCCCAAACUCCUACGGGAGGCAGCAGUGGGGAAUAUUGGACAAUGGGCGCAAGCCUGAUCCAGCCAUGCCGCGUGAGUGAUGAAGGCCCUAGGGUUGUAAAGCUCUUUUGUGCGGGAAGAUAAUGACGGUACCGCAAGAAUAAGCCCCGGCUAACUUCGUGCCAGCAGCCGCGGUAAUACGAAGGGGGCUAGCGUUGCUCGGAAUCACUGGGCGUAAAGGGUGCGUAGGCGGGUCUUUAAGUCAG